RNAcentral lists this ribosomal RNA (253 nucleotides) under uncultured bacterium. Its description in RNAcentral is "partial 16S ribosomal RNA". It matches the Rfam family "Bacterial small subunit ribosomal RNA", at positions 524 to 776 of the family's 1533-position model. The record is from RNAcentral.
UACAGAGGUCUCGAGCGUUAGGCGGAAUCACUGGGCUUAAAGCGUGUGUAGGCGGAUCGGUAAGUACCUUGCGAAAUCCCACAGCUUAACUGUGGAACUGCUUGGUAUACUGCCAGUCUUGAGCCACUUAGGGGCUACCGGAACAAAUGGUGGAGCGGUGAAAUGCGUAGAUAUCAUUUGGAACGCCAAUGGUGAAAACAGGUAGCUGGGAGUGUGCUGACGCUGAGACACGAAAGCCAGGGGAGCAAACGGG